This 311-nucleotide unclassified non-coding RNA is filed under the name plant metagenome. Its description in RNAcentral is "partial contains small subunit ribosomal RNA, internal transcribed spacer 1, and 5.8S ribosomal RNA". The record is from RNAcentral.
UUUCCGUAGGUGAACCUGCGGAAGGAUCAUUAUGAAUGGGGGAGUGUGGGGGAUUGGUGGGGGAUGUGGUUGGGAGAGGGAGAGUGUGGUUGUGGUGGGUGGGGAUUGGGGGUGGAUGGAUGGAUGGAUGCGUGACAUGUCUUGUCUGCGCCAUCAGUCUAAUGCACGUUCAGACCAGCCUGAAAGACCGCACUCGCUCUCGCAACUGCUCACUCACCACCACCAUAUAUAUAAGCACAGUUUGAGAGUAUGGCCGAGUGAGAGGAAGGAUAAUGAUAUGACAACUUUUAACAAUGGAUCUCUUGGCUCUU